GGAAAGGUAUGCUGCAGCAAAAGCAAUUAUGUUUUGAUGGGCGAGGGGGCGGGGCUUCGGAUGGGCAUGGGGGCGGAGCCUCGGAGAUAUCUUGACAGGAGGGUCUUGACAGGAGGCUGCUGUCUUUUAGGAGAGCUGGGUCCCUGGAUGUCAGAGCUGAGGGGGCAUGCAAACCAUGUGAGUAGCAGCCCACACCAGGCCCCGAGGUCUGCUAUGACCACCACAACGGCAAGCUGCUGCUGGGAGCCCCGACCAAGCACCUUCUGAGCCCCCCUCCCCUUCUGUUGCCCAAUCCCCUUCUCCUUCCCAGUCCCCUUCUCAGCCCUCCUCCCCUUCUGUUGCCCAAUACCCCUCUCCUUCCCAGUCCCCUUCUCAGCCCCCCUCCCCUUCUGUCACCCAAUCCCCUUCUCCUUCCCAGUCCCCUUCUCAGCCCCCCUCCCCUUCUGUCACCCAAUCCCCUUCUCCUUCCCAGUCCCCUUCUCAGCCCCCCUCCCCUUCUGUCACCCAAUCCCCUUCUCCUUCCCAGUCCCCUUCUCAGCCCCCCUCCCCUUCUGUCGCCCAAUCCCCUUCUUCUUCCCAGUCCCCUUCUCAGCCCCCCUCCCCCUCUCUUUACCAAUACCCAUCUCUGUCCCCCUCCCCCUCUGAAGGCGGCCAAACAACCACUCCAGCCAUCUCCCCCUCUUUCCCAGACCCCCUCUCUGGCUCCCUCCCCCUCUGUUGCCCAAACACCCUCUCCGCCCCCCUCUUAAUCAGACCCACCCUCUGAAAGCAGGUCCCCAGUCCCUCCUCCUUCCCCAAUCCCUCCUCCUUCCCCAAUCCAGCCGCCUUCCCCCAUCCAGCCGCCUUCCCCCAUCCAGCCGCCUUCCCCACCCAGUGAAUGGGCCAAAGAAGCCCCUGCGGAUAUUCCGGGGAGUCCGCAUGUGGCAGAUGCGAAUGCAGCAGUUGGAGAUCCCAACAGUUUGCCCGCACUUUUCCAGCACCUAAAAGGCAAUUUGAGGGCAGUAAUUGCCGAUAUAGAGGCAAUC
This is a long non-coding RNA of Pseudophryne corroboree (corroboree frog), 1025 nucleotides long. RefSeq lists it as uncharacterized. NCBI's taxonomy places the organism in Eukaryota, Metazoa, Chordata, Amphibia, Anura, Myobatrachidae. The transcript has 3 exons. The record is from RefSeq and is a predicted model, not a curated record.